AAGUNGUAACAAGGUUUCCGUAGGUACAAAUAGGUUUGCCUGCCGACACCUCUCGCAACGACGUUAAAAAACUGCGCGCUCUACGCCCUAUUGGCGUGGGCAACACCGUUCAAGUGCUGAGAAUGCCCGGCGAGAGCCCCGCACAACCAGCAGCCAGCAGUUAGUUACUGCCUGGUCCACAGAUCAAUCGACGGUGACCGUUAUCGGCUAAGUUAUGACCGGUCCAGAGCCCCAACGGGCCCUGGAGCCAUGGAACCUGCGGAAGGAUCAUUA
RNAcentral lists this ribosomal RNA (273 nucleotides) under Physcia dubia. RNAcentral's name for it is "partial 18S ribosomal RNA". The record is from RNAcentral. Lineage: Eukaryota; Fungi; Ascomycota; Lecanoromycetes; Caliciales; Physciaceae.